UGCAAACACAAAACCUCCACGGUUGUUUGCCUGGAAAAGCAAUCAAAAGCCCCCUCAAAAAGCCAAUUUCUAAUCAAUUCGAAUUCGAAACCAAAGUCAAAAUCAAAAUUGAAGCUUUGAAAUUAGGGUUACAAUCUAAGCAUUCAAGCUGUUAAGCUUGUCUGAGAAGCAAAAGCGCUCAGAUUCUAAUCGAUGGGGAAGAGAAAAGAGCGUCGUCUUGCAGCUAAGACCAACGCUGGUCGCAGAGUCAAGCUCGAUCUUUUCGCGGAACCCUCUGGAGAUUUGGGUGGCUCUGCUGAACAUGAUGAGCUUGGAGGAGAUAUGAAAUCCAAAGGCCAUGAUGGGUUACCCAAUUCACCAUCUUCUUCAGGUGGGUUCCGUCAGUUUUCUUCAAAAAGGACUUUGUAGAGAGGACAUGUGUGCUCAACAUUAUGUUGUUCGGUGGAAUUAUGGAUACUAUAUGUGCAAGACAUGUUAUGUUGUUUGCCCCCCAAGAUUUUGUUUUCAGACUGUAGGGUGGCUGUUGUCUUGUUGAGAACAUUCACUGUCAGAUCAGGUCGGGCCCAGCCACAGUGAAAUUAUGAAUCACCCCUAUUCGUUAUGCCCUUUUUGGCACCAACAAAGCGUUUUGGAGAU
Molecule: non-coding RNA, 636 nt
Organism: Prunus avium (sweet cherry)
Lineage: Eukaryota; Viridiplantae; Streptophyta; Magnoliopsida; Rosales; Rosaceae
Source: RefSeq, a predicted model, not a curated record